This is a non-coding RNA of Microcebus murinus (gray mouse lemur), 411 nucleotides long. NCBI's taxonomy places the organism in Eukaryota, Metazoa, Chordata, Mammalia, Primates, Cheirogaleidae. The record is from RefSeq and is a predicted model, not a curated record.
GAUGCUAAGACCUCUCUUCAGGGCGGGGCUUCUUUGCUGCUUUCCUCUCAGGUCCCGUCUGCCUUUUUAAUAUGCUCCCGACUGGCGUGUGCAGGGAUGACCAGAGACAGCUGCUCCUGAAGAAACCUCCCCUCCUGCUGUAACUGCAGAUACCUCUGGUUAUAUUCGCAACUUUUCAGAAGGUACGAAGGAAAGCAGCUCCUGACAUCUGGGUACUGCCUUGACACUUCCAAGCUUCAGAGUUUUCAGAAGGUGAUCUGGAGCUGACUGCUGGGCAGUGGUAUUUUCCUGUUGGAUAAAAACAAUCUCACAAAGCUCCCAGAUCAGACAAGGUCAUUUAGUGACUGUGAAGAAGUGAGAGAAAGAAAGACUAUAUAAUGAGUUCGAUGCACACUGUCUGGGGGAUGGACA